CUUUUCAUUCCCGUUGUUAUGGAGGGCCACAUCUGCCAGAGCCUGGAGUCUGCGAAGGCCGGGACCCGGUUCCCCGGCCCACAGUGGGGGUGUGCAAACCCGAGAGAACUGGGAAGUGCCGUCAGAAGCGAUAACUGACGACGUCUAAUGUCUAUCUGACCGCAGUCGCUGAAACCUCUACAACUUAGUUGACCGUAACUGCCAGAGCCCUGCCCUGAAUUCCUGUCCUUACUCCCUCUUUAAGAUUGCGUACCCACUGCAGAGUGCUGAAGACGGGGUAGCCACGAGUCAAGUCUUCACCACUUGCUGGUUCCCAGGAGUAAACUUGUUUGAACGGUGACCUAAUUGCUAUAUUCACCUAGGUUGCAAAUUCGUGAAGAAUCAGCAUCAUGUUUGGCAGCUGAGUAUUGGAGCCAGGAGCCUGCCAUGAGGUUUUGAGAACAGAGUGCUGUUUUAGAGCUGGCAGCAGCAUCUCAGCCCAAGAGAAGGUUAUAUUCCCAGAGGAUGUCAGUCCCAAGGACCAGUAGCUGCCAUCAGUUUGGAUUCUGAAAACUAACUGGCAUCAACACUGGGUGUAGAAACAUGCUUGCCUUAUGUAUCAGAGGACAUGCUCAGCAGAUCCAAGAGAUAUAUUUGGCAACUUUUUCUAGAAAAGGCACAUUGGGUAUCAUUCAUUACAUUCUUGAGUUUUUUUGGGUUUUUUUUUUUUUUUUUGAGACAGUCUUGCUGUAUUGCCCAGGCUGGAGUGUGGUGGCACAAUCACAGCUCAUUGCAUCCUCAAUCACCCAGGCCUAAGCAAUCCUCCCACCUUGUAGCUGGGACUACAGCUCACAGCACACCUGGCUAAAAUUUUUUUUUUGUUGAGACGGAUUCUCUAUGUUGCCCAGGCUGGUCUCAGGCUCCUGGGCUCAGAUGGUCCUCCUGCCUCAGCUUCCAAAGGCACAGGCCAAGUUGUAGCUUUGUCCCUUGCCAUCAUGCCCAACAAGAGGUUCUAUACCUUUUAAUGAAUUGACUUUCAUAAAUUGGUUAUGUUGGUGGGCAAAGUUCUUUAAGCUGGAAAUUGUAAAUUCCUCCUGAAAUGUUUUUUCAUGCAGUUACCAUGAACUAAUACUACAAUAAAGGAUGGUCUUGGGUGUCAAUUCUUGAAAA
Long non-coding RNA from Homo sapiens (human), 1149 nucleotides. Ensembl annotates it as small nucleolar RNA host gene 29. Its record names the gene SNHG29. Lineage: Eukaryota; Metazoa; Chordata; Mammalia; Primates; Hominidae. The record is from Ensembl.